RNAcentral lists this ribosomal RNA (414 nucleotides) under Segatella salivae. RNAcentral's name for it is "bacterial SSU rRNA". It matches the Rfam family "Bacterial small subunit ribosomal RNA", at positions 28 to 431 of the family's 1533-position model. The record is from RNAcentral. Lineage: Bacteria; Pseudomonadati; Bacteroidota; Bacteroidia; Bacteroidales; Prevotellaceae.
GAUGAACGCUAGCUACAGGCUUAACACAUGCAAGUCGAGGGGAAACGACAUUGAAGCUUGCUUCGAUGGGCGUCGACCGGCGCACGGGUGAGUAACGCGUAUCCAACCUGCCUCUGACUAAGGGAUAACCCGGCGAAAGUCGGACUAAUACCCUAUGAGGUUUUCCGCAGACAUCUAAUGAAAACGAAAGAUUUAUCGGUCAGUGAUGGGGAUGCGUCUGAUUAGCUUGUUGGCGGGGUAACGGCCCACCAAGGCAACGAUCAGUAGGGGUUCUGAGAGGAAGGUCCCCCACAUUGGAACUGAGACACGGUCCAAACUCCUACGGGAGGCAGCAGUGAGGAAUAUUGGUCAAUGGGCGAGAGCCUGAACCAGCCAAGUAGCGUGCAGGAUGACGGCCCUACUGGGUUGUAAACU